This 433-nucleotide ribosomal RNA is filed under the name uncultured bacterium. Its description in RNAcentral is "bacterial SSU rRNA". It matches the Rfam family "Bacterial small subunit ribosomal RNA", at positions 28 to 456 of the family's 1533-position model. The record is from RNAcentral.
GACGAACGCUGGCGGCGCGCCUAACACAUGCAAGUCGAACGGAGCUUAGAGAGCUUGCUUUUUAAGCUUAGUGGCGAACGGGUGAGUAACGCGUGAGUAACCUGCCCUAGAGUGGGGGACAACAGUUGGAAACGACUGCUAAUACCGCAUAAGCCCACGGUGCCGCAUGACACUGAGGGAAAAGGAUUUAUUCGCUUUAGGAUGGACUCGCGUCCAAUUAGCUAGUUGGUGAGGUAACGGCCCACCAAGGCGACGAUUGGUAGCCGGACUGAGAGGUUGAACGGCCACAUUGGGACUGAGACACGGCCCAGACUCCUACGGGAGGCAGCAGUGGGGGAUAUUGCACAAUGGGGGAAACCCUGAUGCAGCGACGCCGCGUGGAGGAAGAAGGUUUUCGGAUUGUAAACUCCUGUCGUUAGGGACGAUAAUGACG